RNAcentral lists this long non-coding RNA (210 nucleotides) under Lathyrus oleraceus (garden pea). RNAcentral describes it as "Pisum sativum (pea) long non-coding RNA (PSAT_LNC001919)". The record is from RNAcentral. Lineage: Eukaryota; Viridiplantae; Streptophyta; Magnoliopsida; Fabales; Fabaceae.
UUCUCUUCAUGCUCAAGUAGACGGGUAAUCUCGUCAGGAAUCUCUUCAACAUCAUCUUCUUCCGCCUCAAAUACAGGGAAUUCAAAGUUGGGAGAUGGUGUUGGAUCAUUAUGUUCAAAUCUCGUCAGGAAUCUCUUCAACAUCAUCUUCUUCCGCCUCAAAUACAGGGAAUUCAAAGUUGGGAGAUGGUGUUGGAUCAUUAUGUUCAAU